Molecule: ribosomal RNA, 754 nt
Filed under: Tomoceridae sp. R33
Lineage: Eukaryota; Metazoa; Arthropoda; Collembola; Entomobryomorpha; Tomoceridae
Description: SSU rRNA
Rfam family: Eukaryotic small subunit ribosomal RNA
Source: RNAcentral
GAUGCCGACCGGCGAUCCGCAGUCGUUAACUGAAUGACUCUGCGGGCAGCCUCCGGGAAACCAGAGUGUUUGGGUUCCGGGGGAAGUAUGGUUGCAAAGCUGAAACUUAAAGGAAUUGACGGAAGGGCACCACCAGGAGUGGAGCCUGCGGCUUAAUUUGACUCAACACGGGAAAUCUCACCAGGCCCGGACACCGGAAGGAUUGACAGAUUGAGAGCUCUUUCUUGAUUCGGUGGGUGGUGGUGCAUGGCCGUUCUUAGUUGGUGGAGCGAUUUGUCUGGUUAAUUCCGAUAACGAACGAGACUCUGGCCUACUAACUAGACGUCGGAUCCCUUUGUGGGUCCGUCGCAGCUUCUUAGAGGGACGGGCGGCGUUUAGCCGCACGAGAAUGAGCAAUAACAGGUCUGUGAUGCCCUUAGAUGUUCUGGGCUGCACGCGCGCUACACUGAAGGAAUCAGCAUGUGUUCCCUAUCUGAAAGGAUUGGGCAACCCGUUGAAACUCCUUCGUGAUGGGGAUUGGGGAUUGCAAUUAUUUCCCAUGAACGAGGAAUUCCCAGUAGGUGCGAGUCAUCAGCUUGCGCCGAUUACGUCCCUGCCCUUUGUACACACCGCCCGUCGCUACUACCGAUCGAGUGAUUUAGUGAGGACUUCGGACUGGUCUUCAAUGUGGCUUUCGGGUCAUGUCGUAGUACCGGAAAGAUGCCCAAACUUGAUCACUUAGAGGAAGUAAAAGUCGUAACAAGGUUUCCGUAGG